UACGGAGGGUGCAAGCGUUAUCCGGAUUCACUGGGUUUAAAGGGUGCGUAGGUGGGAAUGUAAGUCAGUGGUGAAAUCUCCGUGCUUAACAUGGAAACUGCCAUUGAUACUAUGUUUCUUGAAUUUUCUGGAGGUAAGCGGAAUAUGUCAUGUAGCGGUGAAAUGCUUAGAUAUGACAUAGAACACCAAUUGCGAAGGCAGCUCGCUACACGAAUAUUGACUCUGAGGCACGAAAGCGUGGGGAUCAAACAGG
Molecule: ribosomal RNA, 253 nt
Filed under: uncultured bacterium
Lineage: Bacteria
Description: partial 16S ribosomal RNA
Rfam family: Bacterial small subunit ribosomal RNA
Source: RNAcentral